GAUGAAGAACGUAGCGAAAUGCGAUAAGUAAUGUGAAUUGCAGAAUUCAGUGAAUCAUCGAAUCUUUGAACGCACAUUGCGCCCGCUAGUAUUCUGGCGGGCAUGCCUGUUCGAGCGUCAUUACAACCCUCAGGCCCCCGGGCCUGGCGUUGGGGAUCGGCGGAGCCCCCCGUGGGCACACGCCGUCCCCCAAAUGCAGUGGCGGUCCCGCCGCAGCUUCCAUCGCGUAGUAGCUAACACCUCGCGACUGGAGAGCGGCGCGGCCACGCCGUAAAACACCCAACUCUUCUGAAGUUGACCUCGAAUCAGGUAGGAAUACCCGCUGAACUUAAGCAUAUCAAUAAGCGGAGGA
RNAcentral lists this unclassified non-coding RNA (352 nucleotides) under soil metagenome. RNAcentral describes it as "partial contains 5.8S ribosomal RNA, internal transcribed spacer 2, and large subunit ribosomal RNA". The stretch from base 1 to 120 matches the Rfam family "5.8S ribosomal RNA", at positions 35 to 154 of the family's 154-position model. The record is from RNAcentral.